GACGAACGCUGGCGGCGUGCCUAAUACAUGCAAGUCGAACGCAGGGGGGACGGGUGAGUAACACGUGGGUAACCUCCCAUCAGAGGGGAUAACACUUUGAAACAGGUGCUAAACCGAUACUGAUGGAUGGACCCGCGGUGCAUUAGCUAGUUGGGGAGGUAACGGCGUACCAAGGCCACGAUGCAUAGCCGACCUGAGAGGGUGCGCGGCCACACUGGGACUGAUACACGGCCCAGACUCCGACGGGAGGCAGCAGUAGGGAAUAUUCGGCAAUGGACGAAAGUCUGACCGAGCAACGCCGCGUGAGUGAAGAAGGUUUUCGGAUUGUAAAACUCUGUUGUUAGAGAAGCGGUAUCUAACCAGAAAGCCCCGGCUAACUACGUGCCAGCAGCCGCGGUAAUUC
RNAcentral lists this ribosomal RNA (403 nucleotides) under uncultured bacterium. RNAcentral describes it as "partial 16S ribosomal RNA". It matches the Rfam family "Bacterial small subunit ribosomal RNA", at positions 28 to 526 of the family's 1533-position model. The record is from RNAcentral.